GGUUAAGCGACUAAGCGUACACGGUGGAUGCCCUGGCAGUCAGAGGCGAUGAAGGACGUGCUAAUCUGCGAAAAGCGACGGCGAGGUGAUAUGAACCUUUGACCCGUCGAUGUCCGAAUGGGGAAACCCAGUGUGUUUCGWCACACUAUCGUUAACUGAAUACAUAGGUUAACGAGGCGAACCGGGGGAACUGAAACAUCUAAGUACCCCGAGGAAAAGAAAUCAACCGAGAUUCCCCCAGUAGCGGCGAGCGAACGGGGAGCAGCCCGGAGUCUGAAUCAGCUUGUGUGUUAGUGGAAGCGUCUGGAAAGUCGCACGGUACAGGGUGACAGUCCCGUACACGAAAAUGCACAGGUUGUGAACUCGAAGAGUAGGGCGGGACACGUGGUAUCCUGUCUGAAUAUGGGGGGACCAUCCUCCAAGGCUAAAUACUCCUGACUGACCGAUAGUGAACCAGUACCGUGAGGGAAAGGCGAAAAGAACCCCGGCGAGGGGAGUGAAAAAGAACCUGAAACCGUGUACGUACAAGCAGUGGGAGCACCUUCGGGUGUGACUGCGUACCUUUUGUAUAAUGGGUCAGCGACUUAUAUUCUGUAGCAAGGUUAACCGUAUAGGGGAGCCGCAGGGAAACCGAGUCUUAACUGGGCGUUAAGUUGCAGGGUAUAGACCCGAAACCCGGUGAUCUAGCCAUGGGCAGGUUGAAGGUUGGGUAACACUAACUGGAGGACCGAACCGACUAAUGUUGAAAAAUUAGCGGAUGACCUGUGGCUGGGGGUGAAAGGCCAAUCAAACCGGGAGAUAGCUGGUUCUCCCCGAAAGCUAUUUAGGUAGCGCCUCGUGAAYUCAUCUUCGGGGGUAGAGCACUGUUUCGGCUAGGGGGCCAUCCCGGCUUACCAACCCGAUGCAAACUACGAAUACCGAAGAAUGUUAUCACGGGAGACACACGGCGGGUGCUAACGUCCGUCGUGAAGAGGGAAACAACCCAGACCGCCAGCUAAGGUCCCAAAGUCAUGGUUAAGUGGGAAACGAUGUGGGAAGGCACAGACAGCCAGGAUGUUGGCUUAGAAGCAGCCAUCAUUUAAAGAAAGCGUAAUAGCUCACUGGUCGAGUCGGCCUGCGCGGAAGAUGUAACGGGGCUAAACCAUGCACCGAAGCUGCGGCAGCGACACUAUGUGUUGUUGGGUAGGGGAGCGUUCUGUAAGCCGUUGAAGGUGUGCUGUGAGGCAUGCUGGAGGUAUCAGAAGUGCGAAUGCUGACAUAAGUAACGAUAAAGCGGGUGAAAAGCCCGCUCGCCGGAAGACCAAGGGUUCCUGUCCAACGUUAAUCGGGGCAGGGUGAGUCGACCCCUAAGGCGAGGCCGAAAGGCGUAGUCGAUGGGAAACAGGUUAAUAUUCCUGUACUUGGUGUUACUGCGAAGGGGGGACGGAGAAGGCUAUGUCAGCCGGGCGACGGUUGUCCCGGUUUAAGCGUGUAGGUGUGUGUUCCAGGCAAAUCCGGUUCACUUUAACACUGAGGCGUGAUGACGAGGCACUACGGUGCUGAAGUGAUAAAUGCCCUGCUUCCAGGAAAAGCCUCUAAGCAUCAGGUAACACGAAAUCGUACCCCAAACCGACACAGGUGGUCAGGUAGAGAAUACCAAGGCGCUUGAGAGAACUCGGGUGAAGGAACUAGGCAAAAUGGUGCCGUAACUUCGGGAGAAGGCACGCUGAUAUGUAGGUGAAGYCCCUGCGGRCGGAGCUGAAAUCAGUCGAAGAUACCAGCUGGCUGCAACUGUUUAUUAAAAACACAGCACUGUGCAAACACGAAAGUGGACGUAUACGGUGUGACGCCUGCCCGGUGCCGGAAGGUUAAUUGAUGGGGUUAGCGGCAACGCGAAGCUCUUGAUCGAAGCCCCGGUAAACGGCGGCCGUAACUAUAACGGUCCUAAGGUAGCGAAAUUCCUUGUCGGGUAAGUUCCGACCUGCACGAAUGGCGUAAUGAUGGCCAGGCUGUCUCCACCCGAGACUCAGUGAAAUUGAACUCGCUGUGAAGAUGCAGUGUACCCGCGGCAAGACGGAAAGACCCCGUGAACCUUUACUAUAGCUUGACACUGAACACUGGUCCUUGAUGUGUAGGAUAGGUGGGAGGCUUUGAAGCGUGGACGCCAGUCUGCGUGGAGCCGUCCUUGAAAUACCACCCUUUAAUGGCUGGUGUUCUAACGUGGACCCGURAUCCGGGUUGCGGACAGUGUCUGGUGGGUAGUUUGACUGGGGCGGUCUCCUCCCAAAGAGUAACGGAGGAGCACGAAGGUUAGCUAAUCCUGGUCGGACAUCAGGAGGUUAGUGCAAUGGCAUAAGCUAGCUUGACUGCGAGAGUGACGGCUCGAGCAGGUGCGAAAGCAGGUCAUAGUGAUCCGGUGGUUCUGAAUGGAAGGGCCAUCGCUCAACGGAUAAAAGGUACUCCGGGGAUAACAGGCUGAUACCGCCCAAGAGUUCAUAUCGACGGCGGUGUUUGGCACCUCGAUGUCGGCUCAUCACAUCCUGGGGCUGAAGUAGGUCCCAAGGGUAUGGCUGUUCGCCAUUUAAAGUGGUACGCGAGCUGGGUUUAGAACGUCGUGAGACAGUUCGGUCCCUAUCUGCCGUGGGCGCUGGAGAAUUGAGGGGGGCUGCUCCUAGUACGAGAGGACCGGAGUGGACGCAUCACUGGUGUUCGGGUUGUCAUGCCAAUGGCACUGCCCGGUAGCUAAAUGCGGAAGAGAUAAGUGCUGAAAGCAUCUAAGCACGAAACUUGCCCCGAGAUGAGUUCUCCCUGAGACU
This 2795-nucleotide ribosomal RNA is filed under the name Enterobacter bugandensis. Its description in RNAcentral is "partial 23S ribosomal RNA". Lineage: Bacteria; Pseudomonadati; Pseudomonadota; Gammaproteobacteria; Enterobacterales; Enterobacteriaceae. The record is from RNAcentral.